RNAcentral lists this non-coding RNA (29 nucleotides) under Mus musculus (house mouse). The record is from RNAcentral. Lineage: Eukaryota; Metazoa; Chordata; Mammalia; Rodentia; Muridae. RNAcentral also lists the same sequence under 1 other name.
UAGAAGGAAUGAAAUUGGAAAGAAGGGCC